RNAcentral lists this unclassified non-coding RNA (19 nucleotides) under Chlamydomonas reinhardtii. RNAcentral describes it as "small RNA Cre_4112". The record is from RNAcentral. Lineage: Eukaryota; Viridiplantae; Chlorophyta; Chlorophyceae; Chlamydomonadales; Chlamydomonadaceae.
UUUCCCGCAACUCCCCCCA